UGCAAGUCGAGGGGUAACAGGAGAAAGCUUGCUUUUUUGCUGACGACCGGCGCACGGGUGCGUAACGCGUAUACAAUCUACCUCUUACUGAGGGAUAGCCCAUGGAAACGUGGAUUAAUACCUCAUAGUAUUAUUGAUCGGCAUCGAUUAGUGAUUAAAGGUUACGGUAAGAGAUGAGUAUGCGUCCUAUUAGCUAGAUGGUAAGGUAACGGCUUACCAUGGCAACGAUAGGUAGGGGUCCUGAGAGGGAGAUCCCCCACACUGGUACUGAGACACGGACCAGACUCCUACGGGAGGCAGCAGUGAGGAAUAUUGGACAAUGGGCGAGAGCCUGAUCCAGCCAUGCCGCGUGCAGGAAGACUGCCCUAUGGGUUGUAAACUGCUUUUACAGAGGAAGAAACCCCUUUACGUGUAAAGGGCUGACGGUACUCUGCGAAUAAGGAUCGGCUAACUCCGUGCCAGCAGCCGCGGUAAUACGGAGGAUCCAAGCGUUAUCCGGAAUCAUUGGGUUUAAAGGGUCCGUAGGCGGAUUUAUAAGUCAGUGGUGAAAGUCUUCCGCUUAACGGGAGAACUGCCAUUGAUACUGUAGAUCUUGAAUUAUUAUGAAGUGGUUAGAAUGUGUAGUGUAGCGGUGAAAUGCAUAGAUAUUACACAGAAUACCGAUUGCGAAGGCAGAUCACUAAUAAUAUAUUGACGCUGAUGGACGAAAGCGUAGGUAGCGAACAGGAUUAGAUACCCUGGUAGUCUACGCCGUAAACGAUGGUUACUAGCUGUCCGGCCUAAUUGAGGGCUGGGUGGUUAAGCGAAAGUGAUAAGUAACCCACCUGGGGAGUACGUUCGCAAGAAUGAAACUCAAAGGAAUUGACGGGGGCCCGCACAAGCGGUGGAGCAUGUGGUUUAAUUCGAUGAUACGCGAGGAACCUUACCAGG
Molecule: ribosomal RNA, 930 nt
Filed under: Zunongwangia sp. CPA-59
Lineage: Bacteria; Pseudomonadati; Bacteroidota; Flavobacteriia; Flavobacteriales; Flavobacteriaceae
Description: bacterial SSU rRNA
Rfam family: Bacterial small subunit ribosomal RNA
Source: RNAcentral